This 696-nucleotide ribosomal RNA is filed under the name Neohormodochis septispora. Its description in RNAcentral is "Pezizomycotina sp. DPW-2022a partial large subunit ribosomal RNA". It matches the Rfam family "Eukaryotic large subunit ribosomal RNA", at positions 477 to 1104 of the family's 3401-position model. Lineage: Eukaryota; Fungi; Ascomycota; Lecanoromycetes; Ostropales; Stictidaceae. The record is from RNAcentral.
GCACUCUCCCUCGAUCGGGCCAGCAUCGGUUCGGGCGGCCGGAUAAAGGCUUCGGGAACGUAGCUCCUCUCGGGGAGUGUUAUAGCCCGGGGUGUAAUGCGGCCAGCCUGGACCGAGGACCGCGCUUUUGCUAGGAUGCUGGCGUAAUGGUUGCCAGCGACCCGUCUUGAAACACGGACCAAGGAGUCGACCAACCGUGCGAGUGUUUGGGUGUCAAACCCGUGCGCGUAAUGAAAGUGAACGGAGGUGAGAACCCCUUACGGGGCGCAUCAUCGACCGAUCCUGAUGUCUUCGGAUGGAUUUGAGUAAGAGCACAGCUGGUCGGACCCGAAAGAUGGUGAUCUAUACGUGAAUAGGGUGAAGCCAGAGGAAACUCUGGUGGAGGCUCGCAGCGGUUCUGACGUGCAAAUCGAUCGUCAAAUUUGCGUAUAGGGGCGAAAGACUAAUCGAACCAUUGAAUUUACAAGUUGGAAUUCAAGUUGCUAGGUGGUUAAUUGCAGCCUUCGUGCUGCCAGUUCCCCGGGGUGUACUCCCCGGGGGGCGACAUCGCUGUCUGCGUGGAUCCCUCUUCUUCUUCCCCCCGGGGGAGAGGUUGCGGGAAACACGGCGCGGUUCAAUCCGUUCACAGACCAAGCGGCGAUGGCCCGGGGGUAUUCUCCCCGGGUUGAGAUAUGGCCGGCCCUCCCCCUAGCGGGG